GCUGGGCGCAGUGGCACGUGCCUGUAAUCCCAGCAGCUUGGGAGGCUGAGUCAGGAGGAUCCUGAGUUCAAAGCCAGUCUCAGCAACAGCAAGGUACCAAGCAACUCAGUGAGACCCUGUCUUGA
RNAcentral lists this small RNA (125 nucleotides) under Marmota monax (woodchuck). The record is from RNAcentral. Lineage: Eukaryota; Metazoa; Chordata; Mammalia; Rodentia; Sciuridae.